CUAAGGCUCCGGAGGAAGCCACGGCUAACUCUGUGCCAGCAGCCGCGGUAAUACAGAGGCGGCAAGCGUUGUUCGGAAUUAUUGGGCGUAAAGAGCACGUAGGCGGCUAUGUAAGUCGGUUGUGAAAGCCUUCCGCUCAACGGAAGAACAGCACCCGAUACUACAUGGCUUGAGUGCGGGAGGGGAGAGUGGAACUUCUGGUGGAGCGGUGAAAUGCGUAGAUAUCAGAAGGAACGCCGGCGGCGAAAGCGGCUCUCUGGCCCAUAACUGACGCUGAGUGUGCGAAAGCUAGGGGAGCAAACGGGAUUAGAUACCCCGGUAGUCCUAGCCGUAAA
This 335-nucleotide ribosomal RNA is filed under the name uncultured Planctomycetales bacterium. RNAcentral describes it as "bacterial SSU rRNA". It matches the Rfam family "Bacterial small subunit ribosomal RNA", at positions 473 to 806 of the family's 1533-position model. Lineage: Bacteria; Pseudomonadati; Planctomycetota; Planctomycetia; Planctomycetales. The record is from RNAcentral.